AGGGGACAUUCCUUGAGCCGAUGAUGAUGGGGAAAAUCAGUGAAGGGGACAUUUAUGGGGACUCAGACAAUGACACAGUGAUGGAAUCCACUCGAAGAGAAGACUUAGCCUCUUGACGCCAGUGUAUGCAGUGGUGGAGUUCCACAGUGAAACUCCAGUCACGGUGGCAGCAGUGGUUAAGUCAUGGAUCGUGACCACCAAGAAGGGAUUCCUGUGCUACUGGCCAUCAACAGGCUACAACAAGAAGCUGACGAGAGGUGAUGCUAGGGCUGGGCAAUAUGGCGAUAUAUAUUGCCCGACGAUAGAAAAACGCAUAUCGUUUCACUGUAUCGUUUAUUUCGAUGUGUCGCAAAUCACACUCUUUAUGGCAAUAUUUUUCGUCAAUUGGACGACACUUUGUGUGCCGUGUGGAAGGAAAUGUGCAACACUAACAAACAUGGAGGAGAGUGAAUGUGACACAGAGCACGGAGACACAGAGCUCGUACCUAAAGGAGGGGUCGCAUGGACGUGGUUUGUGUAUGAAAAGUCUGACACGUACCAGAAAACCGCCCUCUGCAAAAUAUACCGCUGGCCAGUCCUGACAACAGGCUCAAACACUACUAACCUCUUCUACCACCUACGCAAGAAUCACGUGAAACAGUACGGAGAGAGUCUACGGAUGAGACCCAAAAAAUUAGAGUUGAGUGCUCAAAACAAAUCCGACUCAGACGCUGUUUUGUUUUUGUAUCUAGCAACUGAUAUAGAUGAGUUAUUUAAGGAACGCUGCUUUCCAGAGAACUUUACGUUUACCUCUACCACCCAGAUGUCAGGACACAAAUGAAGGUGUCUAACAUGGAAUCAUUAUUUAUUAUUUCACAACGAACAGAAUUUUGUUCCAACGCAAUAAAUCAUGCAUCUUAUGAUUUGUAAUUACCCAAAGAUAUCCCGCAAAAAGGAAAAGCCUCCAAAGUGUCCAGUGAACCACAAACU
Long non-coding RNA from Oncorhynchus gorbuscha (pink salmon), 969 nucleotides. RefSeq lists it as uncharacterized. The record is from RefSeq and is a predicted model, not a curated record. Lineage: Eukaryota; Metazoa; Chordata; Actinopteri; Salmoniformes; Salmonidae. The transcript has 3 exons.